RNAcentral lists this unclassified non-coding RNA (298 nucleotides) under Bombus terrestris (buff-tailed bumblebee). Its description in RNAcentral is "misc RNA ENSBTSG00005022659.1". The record is from RNAcentral. Lineage: Eukaryota; Metazoa; Arthropoda; Insecta; Hymenoptera; Apidae.
GAACACAUCUCCGUUCAGGUGAUUGUUUUUUUUUAAAUAAAAAAAAUUCGAUGGGAAUCGCAUCCAUCUACCUCGCGCGGUCUUUCUUCCCAAUAUCCAGAAGCCGAGCUUUGAAAAAACUCUAGCGACGGCACGGGUGUCCGACUCACGACAACGAGGAUAGACAGCCUGCGGUCCCCUCUGAACGGACGAAACUUUAGUCGUUCAGGUGGUAUAAAAAAAAAUUCGAUGGGACGCACGCGCAGCCGUCGUCCUCGAGCGGUCUUUCUUCCCAAUAUCCAGAAGCCGAGCUUUGAAA